Long non-coding RNA from Phragmites australis (common reed), 1974 nucleotides. RefSeq lists it as uncharacterized. The record is from RefSeq and is a predicted model, not a curated record. NCBI's taxonomy places the organism in Eukaryota, Viridiplantae, Streptophyta, Magnoliopsida, Poales, Poaceae. The transcript has 7 exons.
UGGAGCCCUGUUACGGUACCUCGGUUACCUCUUUAGAGGUAAGAGGCCAAUUUAAUCUGGACCGUUCAGUUUUAGAGAGAGAAAAUACUGAAACGAUUAAAAAAAAACAUAAACCGGCUACUCUCGGUUACCGAUUCUCACUUCUUCGAUCUUAUCGUUCCCUGCGGCCUCCCGAUCUCCCGAGCUCCCAGUUCCUCCGAUCCGCGCCUGAAAUCACGGGACGGGAGUUCGAUAUGAAUCGGAAACGAGGACUCUCCUUCGACUGCCGCCUCCCGAUUUCCCUGAUCUCCCUGAUUCGUUCCUCAAAUCACGGCAGGGGAGAUCCAAACAGAUUCGGUGGCCUCCUGCGAUGCAAGCCUCUUCGUCGUCUCCUUCUCCGUCGACGCGUCGUCCAGCCCCCACGCGUUCCCCGGGCUCGUUACCGCCUGAGCGGCGACAUCCUCCCGCAGCCCAGGGACAGGACGCUGCGGCACGGCGGCGGGGAGACACGGAUCGUGACCGUGCUGCAGGGGGCGACGCACCGGCAAUCACGCGUUGGUGAGGUCUCGCCGCAUUGAGGAGGUCAUCGUCAACGUGGUGGGACGGUGGCUGGUUGCCGAGCGUCAAGCUGCAGGCUGAAGCUGUGAAUUGCUCUGGGGCAGUUUUUGUGGUCCGCCGCCGGUCAUCUUGUUCGGAGCAACGCUUCUGGAAAAGGCAUUGUGCUCUGUAGAAGAUGCAUUCCACAAAUUGAGGUGGAAAGAUCGUGCACAAAAGAGUUGGUGAACUGUGGGCCUGUGCUGGUGAAAGAUGGCCCCAACCGUGUGUAUGCCCGGGAAAUUUGCUACACUAUGCAGCAAGUUGAAUGAGGAACAAAAGGGUGUUGUCGAAGUAAUAGGAUUUCGAAGCUUGCUUAGUAUACCUGCGAUGCCUAUUCAACGUAUUCUCCUUGAGGACCUUGCUGAAAAGUACAAUGAAGUAGAUAGGAGCUUUAGAAUACACGAUCAUGUGGUUCCUAUUUCUACGUGGGAUGUGUAUUGCAUCUUAGGUCUAGUUGACGUAGGAGAUAAGAUUGAAAUUAGUACAAAGAAAGCUGAUCCUAGAUUGUUUAAUUUGUGUAAAGGGAGAGAUGAUAUAGCAAUCACUUUCAAACACUUGGAAGAACGAAUAGGGAGCGGCACAGCCGAUGACCACUUUGCUAGAAUGUUUGUGCUGUAUACGAUAGGUAUAAUUUUGGCCCCUAGUUCAAAGGAAUAUGUGAGCAGCAGGUAUGUAGAUCUUGUAGCAGAUAUUUCAAAAAUCAAAGGCUACAAUUGGGCGCAGUUCACAUUAUAGUAUUUGAUUGAUCACUUGGCACUAUUCAAGAAGAGCAAAAGAACAGGUCUUGUUGGAAAUUUGGCGUUUCUGCAGGUUUGGUUCUUUGAAUAUUUUCAAGCGGUUGGUGAUUGCUUUGAUCAUGCACUCCAUGAGCAUCCUCUGAUUAAAAAUUGGGGUGGAAACAAGGUUGUGAAGCGGGCACAUCUUGAAGGGAUAAAGAAAUUUGGUGCUGAAAAGGUAGUUAUUAGGUUGGAACUCAAUGAUUCUGAAGCGCGUACUGAUUCUGAUCAUUUGGAGGAGGAGAUUGGUGAGGGAUCUUCUGAGGGAAUGAACAGUGACUAUUUCAAAAACGCGGAUUUCAUUGACAAUGGUGAAAAGGAGGAAAAAACUAUGGAUGGCUCGAAUGAUGAUGAGAAGGGUGAUGAAUGCCUCAGAGAGUAUCCAAGUAUUUCAGGACACACUGGAAUCAAUCCAAGGCAAGCUAUCAGCAUUAGAGCAAGAUACCUAUCAUAAGUACACAAGUAUUGAUGGAAGAAUUCAAGUGAUAGAGGACAGGACAAGAUGUUUUAUAUAUUCACAAUUUUUUUUAAUAAUGUCUCAUCGAUGUGUGGGCCCACCUUAUUUGUAUAAUAUUUCUGAAGUUACGUAUUUGAACUAUAAAUAUACACAUUUAAAAUGUCA